CACGUAGGGGGCGAGCGUUGUCCGGAUUUAUUGGGCGUAAAGAGCUCGUAGGCGGUUUGGCAAGUCGGGUGUGAAAUUUCGAGGCUCAACCUCGAAACGCCACUCGAUACUGCCAUGACUGGAGUCCGGUAGAGGAGUGCGGAAUUCCUGGUGUAGCGGUGAAAUGCGCAGAUAUCAGGAGGAACACCAACGGCGAAGGCAGCACUCUGGGCCGGUACUGACGCUGAGGAGCGAAAGCGUGGGGAGCAGACAGG
RNAcentral lists this ribosomal RNA (254 nucleotides) under uncultured bacterium. RNAcentral describes it as "partial 16S ribosomal RNA". It matches the Rfam family "Bacterial small subunit ribosomal RNA", at positions 524 to 776 of the family's 1533-position model. The record is from RNAcentral.